UUGUCUCAAGAAAUGUGUAGAACUGCAUUAACAGUUAAGAUCACUAUCAAGAAAAUGUCAAGAGAAGAUGUCUACUACCAACAAAUUAAAAUGAAUCUAGACUAUGAAAAAACAUAGUUUAUACAAGGACACAAUCACCAAGGAUAUACAAUCAGAGCCAAGAUUGUUUACUCAGAAACUCUUUUAGGAAGACCUCUAUCCAAUUUUAUAUUUUAAAGGACCUUAUGAGAGAAAUAAGUUACAAAAAGCAUAUGCUUUAUUCUCUUUCAUAUUUCAAAAAAUUAAUUGAAAUAUAAGUACAUAUGAAGAGAGAGCUCCCUACUUUAGCUAUACAUACAAAGAACAUGUAGUGUGGCUUAGGCAGUGAAGCACAACUUACCAAAAAUAGAAGAAAAUAUUU
This 400-nucleotide unclassified non-coding RNA is filed under the name Hevea brasiliensis (rubber tree). The record is from RNAcentral. Lineage: Eukaryota; Viridiplantae; Streptophyta; Magnoliopsida; Malpighiales; Euphorbiaceae.